RNAcentral lists this ribosomal RNA (301 nucleotides) under uncultured bacterium. RNAcentral describes it as "partial 16S ribosomal RNA". It matches the Rfam family "Bacterial small subunit ribosomal RNA", at positions 509 to 807 of the family's 1533-position model. The record is from RNAcentral.
CAGCAGCCGCGGUAAUACGUAGGUGGCAAGCGUUGUCCGGAAUUAUUGGGCGUAAAGGGCUCGCAGGCGGUUGUUUAAGUCUGUUGUGAAAUCCCCGGGCUCAACCUGGGAAUGGCAAUGGAAACUGAACGGCUAGAGUGUGUCAGAGGAUGGUGGAAUUCCCGGUGUAGCGGUGAAAUGCGUAGAGAUGUGGAGGAACACCAAUGGCGAAGGCGACUCUCUGGUCUGUAACUGACGCUCAGGUGCGAAAGCGUGGGGAGCAAACAGGAUUAGAUACCCGCGUAGUCCCUGUCUCUUAUAC